UCGAGAAUAAUUCGCAAUGGACGAAAGUCUGACGAUGCGACGCCGUGUGAACGAUGAAGGCCUUCGGGUUGUAAAGUUCUGUCAACUUGGAACAAGGUAUAUGAGGGAAUACGUCAUAUGCUUGAGGGUACAAGAGGAGGAAGCACCGGCUAACUCCGUGCCAGCAGCUGCGGUAAUACGGAGGGUGCAAGCGUUAGUCGGAAUAACUGGGCGUAAAGGGCGCGUAGGCGGGAAUAAAAGUCAAACGUGAAAUUUCAAAGCUCAACUUUGAAGCUGCAUUUGAAACUGUAUUUCUGGAGGGAUGGCGGAGAAAGUGGAAUUCCACGUGUAGCGGUGAAAUGCGUAGAUAUGUGGAAGAAUACCUGUGGCGAAAGCGACUUUCUAGCCUAAACCUGACGCUGAGGCGCGAAAGCAAGGGGAGCAAACAGGAUUAGAUACCCCCGUAGUCC
Molecule: ribosomal RNA, 449 nt
Filed under: uncultured bacterium
Lineage: Bacteria
Description: bacterial SSU rRNA
Rfam family: Bacterial small subunit ribosomal RNA
Source: RNAcentral